Molecule: ribosomal RNA, 433 nt
Filed under: uncultured bacterium
Lineage: Bacteria
Description: partial 16S ribosomal RNA
Rfam family: Bacterial small subunit ribosomal RNA
Source: RNAcentral
AACGAACGCUGGCGGCAUGCCUAACACAUGCAAGUCGAACGAGACCUUCGGGUCUAGUGGCGCACGGGUGCGUAACGCGUGGGAAUCUGCCCUUGGGUUCGGAAUAACAGUUGGAAACGACUGCUAAUACCGGAUGAUGACGUAAGUCCAAAGAUUUAUCGCCCAAGGAUGAGCCCGCGUAGGAUUAGCUAGUUGGUGAGGUAAAGGCUCACCAAGGCGACGAUCCUUAGCUGGUCUGAGAGGAUGAUCAGCCACACUGGGACUGAGACACGGCCCAGACUCCUACGGGAGGCAGCAGUAGGGAAUAUUAGGCGAGGGGCGAAAGCCUGAUCCAGCAGUGCCGCGUGAGUGAUGAAGGCCUUAGGGUUGUAAAGCUCUUUGACCCGAGAUGAUAAUGACAGUACCGGGAGAAUAAGCACCGGCUAACUCCGUG